Molecule: ribosomal RNA, 465 nt
Filed under: uncultured bacterium
Lineage: Bacteria
Description: partial 16S ribosomal RNA
Rfam family: Bacterial small subunit ribosomal RNA
Source: RNAcentral
GACGAACGCUGGCGGCGUGCUUAACACAUGCAAGUCGAACGGAAAGGCCCCUUUGGGGGUACUCGAGUGGCGAACGGGUGCGUAACACGUGCGUAACCUGCCCUUGACUUCGGGAUAACUUCAGGAAACUGGGGCUAAUACCGGAUAGGAAUCCUUGCUGCAUGGGGGGGGUUGGAAAGCUUCGGCGGUUUUGGAUGGACUCGCGGCUUAUCAGCUUGUUGGUGGGGUAGUGGCUUACCGAGGCUUUGUCGGGUAGCCGGCCUGCGAGGGCGACCGGCCACAUUGGGACUGAGGGACGGCCCAGACACCUACGGGAGGCAGCAGUGGGGAAUAUUGCACAAUGGGCGGAAGGCUGAUGCAGCAACGCCGCGGGCGGGAUGACGGCCUUCGGGGUGUAAACCGCUUUCAGCAGGGGCGAAGCUUGUGGUGACGGUACCUGCAGAAGAAGCACCGGCUAACUACGUG